UACGAAGGGGGCUAGCGUUGCUCGGAAUCACUGGGCGUAAAGCGCACGUAGGCGGCUUGUUAAGUCAGGGGUGAAAUCCUGGAGCUCAACUCCAGAACUGCCUUUGAUACUGGCAAGCUUGGAGUCCGGGAGAGGUGAGUGGAACUGCGAGUGUAGAGGUGAAAUUCGUAGAUAUUAGGAAGAACACCAGUGGCGAAGGCGGCUCACUGGUCCGGUACUGACGCUGAGGUGCGAAAGCGUGGGGAGCAAACAGG
RNAcentral lists this ribosomal RNA (254 nucleotides) under uncultured bacterium. Its description in RNAcentral is "partial 16S ribosomal RNA". It matches the Rfam family "Bacterial small subunit ribosomal RNA", at positions 524 to 776 of the family's 1533-position model. The record is from RNAcentral.